CAAACCUGUACAGAUCGCCAUCAAUCAAUGUGUACUUGCUGGAAUUUUUCUUUACCUUCCUAGCUUCUGUCGGAUCCAGUGGGAGGAGGCCAUCUGCCAGGCACCGCUUGUACUGGGUUAUCCAGGUGUCUGGCUCAUGGAUGGCACAUACCUGCGCCAUAUUCACCUUCUCUCCUCGACAUGCUCUAAUUCUCGGCGAUCUCAGAGUUUCUUGCGUCAAGGACUUAUGGCCUCUCGCUGCUUUCUUCGUCGACUUGCUUAUCUGAAGGACCAGGUGAU
Molecule: long non-coding RNA, 279 nt
Filed under: Phaseolus vulgaris (common bean)
Lineage: Eukaryota; Viridiplantae; Streptophyta; Magnoliopsida; Fabales; Fabaceae
Description: long non-coding RNA (PVUL_LNC002576)
Source: RNAcentral